AUGUCCGAACCUGAGUUGCAGCUGGUGGCGCUGCGAAUUGGCAGCUUCCCUGACUUCCCCAUCCCGGGCAUGCUGUUCAGGGAUAUCGCACCCUGUACUUCUUCUGAGCCUCCAUCCACCUCCUGGCCAGUCACUUGAAGUCCACGCACAAUACAAGAUCGACUACAUCGCAGAUCUAGACUCCAGGGGCUUCCUUUUUGGCCCUUUCCUAGCUCAAGAGCUUGGCAUGGGCUGUGUCCUCAUCUGGAAGCACGGGAAGCUGUGGAGCCCCACUGUGUCAGCCUACUAUGCUCUGGAGUAUGAGAAGGCUGAGCUGGAAAUCCAGAAAGAUGCCUUAGAACCCGAGCAGAAAGUGGUCGUUGUGGAUGAUCUCCCAGCCACUGGAGGAACCAUGUGUGCGGCUUGUGAGCUGCUGAACUAGCUACCAGCUGAGGUGGUGGAAUGUGUGAGCUUGGUGGAGCGGACCUCCCUGAAAGGCAGGGGGAAGCUAGGACCCAUACCGUUUUCACAACACAGUCAUAAAAGAACACAUACUGCACAGAAACCUUAUGAAUAUAAUCAAAGUGACCUGCUGAGCCUGAUCCAUACAGGUGAGCUUCCCUUCCCCGACUCAUCCUUGAUGGGUCCUCUGGAGCAGAGAUACCCUGAGCAGCCUGAUAUCCCAAGAAAACCUCCAUUCUCCUGCUACCUCUGCUCCCACCUUCAUCAGACCUGCUGA
Molecule: non-coding RNA, 718 nt
Organism: Mus caroli (Ryukyu mouse)
Lineage: Eukaryota; Metazoa; Chordata; Mammalia; Rodentia; Muridae
Source: RefSeq, a predicted model, not a curated record